CCUGGCUCACUUCAUGGCUGGCGGCGCGCCUAACACAUGCAAGUCGAACGCGUGAUGAAGAGCUUGCUCUUCAAAUCGAGUGGCGAACGGGUGAGUAACGCGUGAGGAACCUGCCUCAAAGAGGGGGACAACAGUUGGAAACGACUGCUAAUACCGCAUAAGCCCACGGCUCGGCAUCGAGCAGAGGGAAAAGGAGCAAUCCGCUUUGAGAUGGCCUCGCGUCCGAUUAGCUAGUUGGUGAGGUAACGGCCCACCAAGGCGACGAUCGGUAGCCGGACUGAGAGGUUGAACGGCCACAUUGGGACUGAGACACGGCCCAGACUCCUACGGGAGGCAGCAGUGGGGAAUAUUGCACAAUGGGGGAAACCCUGAUGCAGCGACGCCGCGUGGAGGAAGAAGGUCUUCGGAUUGUAAACUCCUGUUGUUGAGGAAGAUAAUGACGGUACUCAACAAGGAAGUGACGGCUAACUACGUGCCAGCAGCCGCGGUAAAACGUAGGUCACAAGCGUUGUCCGGAAUUACUGGGUGUAAAGGGAGCGCAGGCGGGAGAACAAGUUGGAAGUGAAAUCCAUGGGCUCAACCCAUGAACUGCUUUCAAAACUGUUUUUCUUGAGUAGUGCAGAGGUAGGCGGAAUUCCCGGUGUAGCGGUGGAAUGCGUAGAUAUCGGGAGGAACACCAGUGGCGAAGGCGGCCUACUGGGCACCAACUGACGCUGAGGCUCGAAAGUGUGGGUAGCAAACAGGAUUAGAUACCCUGGUAGUCCACACCGUAAACGAUGAUUACUAGGUGUUGGAGGAUUGACCCCUUCAGUGCCGCAGUUAACACAAUAAGUAAUCCACCUGGGGAGUACGACCGCAAGGUUGAAACUCAAAGGAAUUGACGGGGGCCCGCACAAGCAGUGGAGUAUGUGGUUUAAUUCGACGCAACGCGAAGAACCUUACCAAGUCUUGACAUCCCUUGACGAUGCUGGAAACAGUAUUUCUCUUCGGAGCAAGGAGACAGGUGGUGCAUGGUUGUCGUCAGCUCGUGUCGUGAGAUGUUGGGUUAAGUCCCGCAACGAGCGCAACCCUUAUGGUCAGUUACUACGCAAGAGGACUCUGGCCAGACUGCCGUUGACAAAACGGAGGAAGGUGGGGAUGACGUCAAAUCAUCAUGCCCUUUAUGACUUGGGCUACACACGUACUACAAUGGCGUUAAACAAAGAGAAGCAAGACCGCGAGGUGGAGCAAAACUCAGAAACAACGUCCCAGUUCGGACUGCAGGCUGCAACUCGCCUGCACGAAGUCGGAAUUGCUAGUAAUCGUGGAUCAGCAUGCCACGGUGAAUACGUUCCCGGGCCUUGUACACACCGCCCG
This 1356-nucleotide ribosomal RNA is filed under the name uncultured bacterium. RNAcentral's name for it is "bacterial SSU rRNA". It matches the Rfam family "Bacterial small subunit ribosomal RNA", at positions 18 to 1396 of the family's 1533-position model. The record is from RNAcentral.